RNAcentral lists this long non-coding RNA (315 nucleotides) under Brassica napus (rape). RNAcentral describes it as "long non-coding RNA (BNAP_LNC020303)". Lineage: Eukaryota; Viridiplantae; Streptophyta; Magnoliopsida; Brassicales; Brassicaceae. The record is from RNAcentral.
CUCUGUAUCAUUAUUGGAGCACAGUAUAAAUUUGCAUGGCUACAAUGAACGAUGAAGAAGGCCAUAUCUACAAAAUCUAUCACUAUCUCUGCUAAUUACCAGUUCCUACAGUGGCGAAUUCCUUUCUCUGGUUGCUGAUUUAGACGCUGGGUCGCUGUUUCGGAGAUCCAUCUUCUGAGGUUUUGGGAGGCUCGGAUUGGUCUCAAGAUGUGGAUGCUCUAGCUCUCUCAUUCUUCAGCGGCAAAGACAAAUCUCUAGGCUCUCUCUCGAUAUUUUUCCACCAGAUUGGGUUUUUGUGUAACUUUUAUUGUCUUU